CUGCAUACCCUGUUUACCUAAGUCAUGAGGAGAGAGCUGUAUCUAAAUGCUUUUGUUAUUGUUCUUCAAAACACAUACAUUUGAAUUAAUGUGUCUUCUGCUCAAACAUUUAAUUUCCACUAACCAUAGCUGUAUCAACAAAGAGAGCUUGGAUCUGAUGAAAAAUUCCCCACGUUUAAAAGUGGCAUUGCACUUUGGGUUCACUUCUCUCUCAUCAAAAUCAUGUUUGCCAUGCCUUUCCACACAGUGUAUCCCUCCACGGUCUCAUCUGACCUUUCUCUGCAUCUGUGUUUUCGUUGGCUUUCAGACAGGAUGGCUGAAAAUGAGGAGAGAAACAAGAGAAACACACGAACCUUCACAGUCACAGAUGUUUACGGCUGAACGGGACCUCAAGGGUCAACCGUCUGGCAAUGUUCCAAAUGUAUCCAGGUGGCUUGAAAUACGGACAGAUUCUGCCAAUGACGCAGACCCCCGAAAGCAAUUACAGCCAAAGUGGAUCUCAGCAUUCCAUUAAUUCACAUCCAAAAGGUUUGCAACAUGUGUGCACACUCAGCUUCAACAAGGACAAAAUACCAAGUCUGUGGAAGUGUACCAUUAGGGCUGUAAAUCCCAAGAGAUUCCAAGUGCAUUUUGAUUAGUCAUAACAUAAAGCAAGAGGUUAUCAGCCCCACCUGGAACAAGAUGAAGCCCUCAGAAUGAAUCAACAGUGGGGAUAGAGACCAACAGAAAUCCAGGAGACGAAAAACAAAUAUCCAAAGGGGGGAGGAAAGCUGCCCCAUUACAGUACUUUGUUUCUUUUCUAUAAGUGGUGCCUCUCAAGAUGAAUUUAAUUCAUUCCAUGGUUAAUGUUGUCUUGCGAAAAAUUCGUUUUGUGAAACGUGUUUUCCCAUAGGAAUGCAUUGAAAUCUAAUUAACGCGUUCCUAUGGGCAAAAAAAGUAAGAACAAAGUCAAAUUUGCUUUACAAAGGGAUUAUUAGGUGCUCUUUAAAGCCAUACAUAUUGUGCAGAUGAUUUCAAAAAUUUCAAUUAAAAAACCUAACUUUUUAAACAUCAUAGAAAAACAUUUAAAAAUCAGCAAACACGAGGCAGGAACAAAAAAACGGAAAACAUUCGUCUUGCAAAGCAUGGCCAUAGGAAGAUUUGUCUUGUGAGUCAUCAACCCCAUUGCCAAAACCAUUUGUCUUGUAAGUUUUUUGUCCUGCGAGGCAUUGGUCUUGUGAGGCACCACUGUAUUGCCUUGCCGUGGAGACAAAGGCCAAUAAGGAAGGCCAGUAUUGCUUGCUUAAUAGUAGAGGGUAUUAUUGUUUGUAGUUUAUCUUCUCAAAAAGAUGGCACACUUUGUAGAGCCUGCUUUCUUUUCUGAAGCAGGAAAAAGGGAAACGAGAAACGGAUUGUGAUACCACCCACUGAUAUGAAAUACAUAUUAGGGCUCCUUGACAUGUUGGAGAUCCUACACAACACCACAGGAACAGCUUCUCCUGCACAGGAUGAGGCACUGUCUCGUUCAGAGAGAAUAAAAUCACAUGGCGUUCUAUGCA
RNAcentral lists this long non-coding RNA (1538 nucleotides) under Pogona vitticeps (central bearded dragon). Its description in RNAcentral is "lncRNA (ENSPVIG00000018491.1)". The record is from RNAcentral. Lineage: Eukaryota; Metazoa; Chordata; Lepidosauria; Squamata; Agamidae.